RNAcentral lists this non-coding RNA (102 nucleotides) under Lentibacillus amyloliquefaciens. RNAcentral describes it as "Guanine sequence". It matches the Rfam family "Purine riboswitch aptamer". Rfam says of the family: Riboswitches are metabolite binding domains within certain messenger RNAs that serve as precision sensors for their corresponding targets. Allosteric rearrangement of mRNA structure is mediated by ligand binding, and this results in modulation of gene expression. Lineage: Bacteria; Bacillati; Bacillota; Bacilli; Caryophanales; Bacillaceae. The record is from Rfam by way of RNAcentral.
AAAUAACACAAUAUAUUUCCCCAUAUAUUCCCGGUAAUACGGACUGGGAGUCUCUACAGAGUAACCUUAAAUUACUCUACUAUGGACGGUGCUUCUGACAUA